ACUGUGGCCGUGAUCUCACUCUCUUUUGCAGUUGCUGCAAGUUACCACCUGACAUUCGCACUAUUACAAAUGUCACUAUUUUUAAAUCCAAAUUUAAAACUUCUUUAUAUAGAAUGGCUUUUAAUGCACAGUAGCGUUGCAGCAUUAUCUCUUUAUUUCUCCUGUCUUUAUGCAACAGUUUCAGAUUUUACUGUAUUCUAUGUUUUAUUCAUUUUAUUGUAUGGUAUGUUGUUUUAUUCUUGGUCCUUCAAGCACUUUGGAUACCUGUUGGUUGCUGUGAAGCACUUUAUGAAUACAUGUUGAUUGAUGUUGAGGCUCAAUGAGC
Molecule: long non-coding RNA, 325 nt
Organism: Sander lucioperca (pikeperch)
Lineage: Eukaryota; Metazoa; Chordata; Actinopteri; Perciformes; Percidae
Exons: 3
Source: RefSeq, a predicted model, not a curated record